UACAGAGGGUGCGAGCGUUGUCCGGAAUCACUGGGCGUAAAGGGCGCGUAGGUGGCCCGACAAGUCUGUGGUGAAAGCUCGACGCUCAACGUCGAGUCGGCCAUAGAUACUGUUGGGCUGGAGCACUGUAGAGGCUCAUGGAAUUCCGGGUGUAGCGGUGGAAUGCGUAGAGAUCCGGAAGAACACCGGUGGCGAAGGCGGUGAGCUGGGCAGUAGCUGACACUGAGGCGCGACAGCGUGGGGAGCAAACAGG
This 253-nucleotide ribosomal RNA is filed under the name uncultured bacterium. Its description in RNAcentral is "partial 16S ribosomal RNA". It matches the Rfam family "Bacterial small subunit ribosomal RNA", at positions 524 to 776 of the family's 1533-position model. The record is from RNAcentral.